UACGAAGGGGGCUAGCGUUGUUCGGAUUUACUGGGCGUAAAGCGCACGUAGGCGGAUUGUUAAGUGAGGGGUGAAAUCCCGGGGCUCAACCCCGGAACUGCCUUUCAUACUGGCAAUCUAGAGUCCGGAAGAGGUAAGUGGAACUCCUAGUGUAGAGGUGGAAUUCGUAGAUAUUAGGAAGAACACCAGUGGCGAAGGCGGCUUACUGGUCCGGAACUGACGCUGAGGUGCGAAAGCGUGGGGAGCAAACAGG
This 253-nucleotide ribosomal RNA is filed under the name uncultured Devosia sp. RNAcentral's name for it is "partial 16S ribosomal RNA". It matches the Rfam family "Bacterial small subunit ribosomal RNA", at positions 524 to 776 of the family's 1533-position model. Lineage: Bacteria; Pseudomonadati; Pseudomonadota; Alphaproteobacteria; Hyphomicrobiales; Devosiaceae. The record is from RNAcentral.